AUUGAACGCUGGCGGCAGGCCUAACACAUGCAAGUCGGACGGUAGCACAGAGGAGCUUGCUCCUCGGGUGACGAGUGGCGGACGGGUGAGUAAUGUCUGGGGAUCUGCCCGAUAGAGGGGGAUAACCACUGGAAACGGUGGCUAAUACCGCAUAACGUCGCAAGACCAAAGAGGGGGACCUUCGGGCCUCUCACUAUCGGAUGAACCCAGAUGGGAUUAGCUAGUAGGCGGGGUAAUGGCCCACCUAGGCGACGAUCCCUAGCUGGUCUGAGAGGAUGACCAGCUACACUGGAACUGAGACACGGUCCAGACUCCUACGGGAGGCAGCAGUGGGGAAUAUUGCACAAUGGGCGCAAGCCUGAUGCAGCCAUGCCGCGUGUAUGAAGAAGGCCUUCGGGUUGUAAAGUACUUUCAGCGGGGAGGAAGGCGAUAAGGUUAAUAACCGCAUUGAUUGACGUUACCCGCAGAAGAAGCACCGGCUAACUCCGUGCCAGCCGCCGCGGUAA
Molecule: ribosomal RNA, 506 nt
Filed under: uncultured bacterium
Lineage: Bacteria
Description: partial 16S ribosomal RNA
Rfam family: Bacterial small subunit ribosomal RNA
Source: RNAcentral